UACGGAGGGAGCUAGCGUUGUUCGGAAUUACUGGGCGUAAAGCGCACGUAGGCGGCUUUGUAAGUUAGAGGUGAAAGCCCGGAGCUCAACUCCGGAACUGCCUUUAAGACUGCAUCGCUUGAAUCCAGGAGAGGUGAGUGGAAUUCCGAGUGUAGAGGUGAAAUUCGUAGAUAUUCGGAAGAACACCAGUGGCGAAGGCGGCUCACUGGACUGGUAUUGACGCUGAGACGCGAAAGCCAGGGGAGCGAACGGG
Molecule: ribosomal RNA, 253 nt
Filed under: uncultured bacterium
Lineage: Bacteria
Description: partial 16S ribosomal RNA
Rfam family: Bacterial small subunit ribosomal RNA
Source: RNAcentral